AGUGGUUAAGUGUUUGGCUGUUAACCAAAAGGUCAGUGGUUCAAAUCCACCAGCCGCUU
RNAcentral lists this transfer RNA (59 nucleotides) under Loxodonta africana (African savanna elephant). It matches the Rfam family "tRNA", at positions 14 to 71 of the family's 71-position model. From Rfam's summary of the family: Transfer RNA (tRNA) molecules are approximately 80 nucleotides in length. Their secondary structure includes four short double-helical elements and three loops (D, anti-codon, and T loops). The record is from Rfam by way of RNAcentral. Lineage: Eukaryota; Metazoa; Chordata; Mammalia; Proboscidea; Elephantidae.